Molecule: long non-coding RNA, 4437 nt
Organism: Bos grunniens (domestic yak)
Lineage: Eukaryota; Metazoa; Chordata; Mammalia; Artiodactyla; Bovidae
Source: Ensembl
UUCCUUCCCCAAUCUUUUCCCUUCCCUCUAAUUCACUCAAGGAUUACCACCCAUAGGGAAUCUUUUGCUGAAGGCCUCUCUCAUCUGUCUCUGAACCCAGUAAGCUCCCUUUGCUUGUCUUCAUCCCAUGAGCUUCUGGAGAGAAGGGAACGUGGCUUUUUUGUAAACUCUCCCCAAGUGCGUAGAAGUUGCUGCAUAAACAUAUAUUAAUAACACUUUAGUGGGAGGCUUCCAUAGGGAGGAAGUUCCACUGGGGUAAAAACAUGGGACUUGAGGGAGAUUUUGUUAGUUUCAAUGACAUUGGUUAUCCCACUUUUUAUCCUUAGAAUUGCCCAGCCACAGGUGAGUCUGGUUUGCCUCUGAUCUGGUUUGUAGGUCACACUUGAAGUUCUGGGAUCUCUUUAAUGGGAGGGCUCAGGGUUGCCUUCAGGGAAGAAAGGAGCCUCCAGACAGUUGUAGGGCUUGGGAACCUGGAGUCAAGCAUUCUCUCAUCCCACGUUGGUCCCAAGAAAAACUCCUGAAGUCAGCCCUGCCAGCAAGGGAUGGCCGAGAGCUGCUCAGUGUGGAGUUUCUGGAGUAAUCAGGAUUACACAGGCAGCUGGGAGAUCAAAUUGGGAUUCCAGGAGCCAGUGGCCAGCAGCUCAACUUUGAAUUUCAGGAGGUCUGUUUCCCAGAUGUCCCUGGCCCUGGCCCCACCCACCAGGGAGCCUCGGAUACCCCAGCUCCCACAACCCCCCUUCCCUACUGAGACACUGUGGUCUUCAGCCAACACCCUCACUGCCUGUCUCCUCCUCCUACUCUGGACCUGGGCCAGUCCCUGCCCCUUUCCAGGCAUGGCACCUCCUUUCAGGCCUCCCCCAUCUUCACCUGGCCCCAUGCCAGCCAGUUAGCCACCAAGCCAACCACCUUUCUGGGGCCUGAGAUGGAGGGAGUCAGCUCUUCUGGGCCAACAUGAGCGCCGAGGGCUGAUGGCUGCAGAGGGGCAGAGGCAGCCCCAUCACCUCCCAGGAAUCUGAUCCUCCUGCCAGGUGGUUCCCAUUUCCUGGAGGCUGCAUGGUAAGCUGGUAUGAGGAGAAAGCCCCCUUUCCAGAAGAGGAAGGCACCCCAGUCCACAGGAAACAAAAAGCGGCAGGAGGGGCGUCUUCAGAGGAAUGUGAGAGCAGGGGCAGGCAUGGGGCAAAUAGAGAAGGACUGGUUUUGUUUCCUUUUUUAAAAAAUAAUUUUUUAAAUUUAUUUUUGGAUGUGCUGGGGCUUUGUUGUUGGGCUUUUCUCUAGUUGUGGUAAGUGGGUGCUACUCUUCAUUGCGGUGGCUUCUCUUGUUUCUGCUCUGCUGUGUGUGUUGACUGCUAAGUCCCUGAGCAGCCACCCUGGAUCCAGGGAAAGGGCCUCCUCUUGCUAGUUGCGGGUCAAGGCAAUGAGAAAAAUCCUGGAAACUGAGUCUAGGAGUCCACGUGUCCAGCAGUAUGUCAUACUCACCCAGAAGCUGUCCUUUCGGAGUAUGGCAGCCCUGGGUGCCCCUGUCUGCAGUCUUCAAUUUUGUCUUGUAGAUUCCAGGAGCCAGUGGCCAGCAGCUCAACUUUGAAUUUCAGGAGGUCUGUUUCCCAGAUGUCCCUGGCCCUGGCCCCACCCACCAGGAGCCUCGGAUACCCCAGCUCCCACAACCCCUUCCCUACUGAGACACUGUGGUCUUCAGCCAACACCCUCACUGCCUGUCUCCUCCUCCUACUCUGGACCUGGGCCAGUCCCUGCCCCUUUCCAGGCAUGGCACCUCCUUUCAGGCCUCCCCCAUCUUCACCUGGCCCCAUGCCAGCCAGUUAGCCACCAAGCCAACCACCUUUCUGGGGCCUGAGAUGGAGGGAGUCAGCUCUUCUGGGCCAACAUGAGCCGAGGGCUGAUGGCUGCAGAGGGGCAGAGGCAGCCCCAUCACCUCCCAGGAAUCUGAUCCUCCUGCCAGGUGGUUCCCAUUUCCUGGAGGCUGCAUGGUAAGCUGGUAUGAGGAGAAAGCCCCUUCCAGAAGAGGAAGGCACCCCAGUCCACAGGAAACAAAAAGCGGCAGGAGGGGCGUCUUCAGAGGAAUGUGAGAGCAGGGGCAGGCAUGGGGCAAAUAGAGAAGGACUGGUUUUGUUUCCUUUUUUAAAAAAUAAUUUUUUAAAUUUAUUUUUGGAUGUGCUGGGGCUUUGUUGUUGGGCUUUUCUCUAGUUGUGGUAAGUGGGUGCUACUCUUCAUUGCGGUGGCUUCUCUUGUUACUAAGCACAGGCUCUAGGGCACGCAGGCUUCCGUAGUUGCGACUCCUGAGCUCUAGACCACAGGCUCAAUAGUUGUGGCUCAGGGGCUUAGUUGCUCCUCAGCAUAUGGGAUCUUCCUGGCUCAGGGAUCAAACCUGUGUCUCCUGCAUUGGCGGGCAGAUUCUUUACCACUGAACCACCAGGGAAGCUCCAUGGCUUCGUUUCUCUGGGACCCAGUUUGAUGAAAGUACGAAUGUUUGUCUCUCAUAAGGGGUGGGAAACAAUAAAGAGGGCAGAAGUACAGAAAGAUCAUUCCCACCUCAUGGCUGGGGUGAUCAGUCCUGGUUACCACAAGCCCAGGUCUUCCUGAAGCUGUGGGGAUGUUAAGUGUGCGUUCCUUCGAGCAUAUUUGUUUAGAGCAGUCAGUGCCUUUCUUCUCCAGAAUUCCAAGACUGUUUGUUCAUCUAGGGUCUUUGAUCUGCACACCCCCCCACCCCCAGCCAGGGGUUAAUCAUUCCCAGCAUUGUGUACACAGACUUCUGAGACCAGAACUUCUUCCUCCUGUCAGUCCUUAUCUGAACAGCCCUGAGGAACUCCAGGACCUCUGGGGAUUGGCAUGUUUAAUUAGAUAAUUGCAAAUUCCUGGGCAUCUCUUCUGAGGCCUUCUCUACCUAAAGCCUCAAAAAUAUCCUUUCAGUUAAAUGCUAGCCCGGAGCCUUGCUGCUCAGAAAUAUACCUCCAUCAGCCACACGAGAGGGCAGGGAGAUGCCUGUUCUGUGCAACACUGUUUGGGGCAUUGCAUUCACUAUCCAAGGAGCCUGAGGCUCAGGCCCCAGAGGUAGAAAUGCUGUGUCACAGAUUACCUGAGGUCAAGAGGGAGGAGGGGUCAGGGAAAUAUGGGAAGAGUGAAAGGACUGGCAUGGGGGUCAGUGGGCAGCCUGAGGUAAGGCCCUGACCUCUGCCUUUGCUUGGUUCUCGUGCCAGAGAGCACCCAGCAGGUCAACCACAACCUCAUCUUCUUUCAGAGAAUAACCAGCUGGGUCUGCUCUCAAGGUGACCAGCAACUUGAGGGCAGCAGAGGUUUGGGGUGUUCAGGCUGGGGUGCCCAGAUGAGAGGGAGCUGAAUCCACUGAAACAUGCCCAUUGGAACAGAGACCCUGAGGAGGAAGUGGCUGUCCAUGGAGGCCUAUAAAGAGGACUCCAGAGAGUGAUGCUGGCCUGCUCCUCUGGACACCAGUGGGGCAAGAGGCCUGGACAGGCCCUGUUCGAGGAGCCCCCUGAGGUCAUUGUCUGACACUUGCCGGAGCCCCAGGCCCUCUGAGCCACCUUCUCAUUCCUGCUCUUGCUGGGGCCCGCCAGUGGCAGCAAGGGCCUGGCCAGUGAGGUGGGCCCGAUGUCUGAGCUCGGCCCUCUGACCGCUCUGUUGCUUUGGUCAUACCCAACCCAAGCAGACCAGAGAAGGCAAUGGCAACCCUCUCCAGUACUCUUGCCUGGAAAAUCCCAUGGAUGGAGGAGCCUGGUAGGCUGUAGUCCAUGGGAUCGCUAAGAGUCGGACACAACUGAAGUGACUUAGCAGCAGCAGCAGCAACUCAAGCAGAGAUGCUCUUGGUGGGCUGUCCAGUUGGGCCUUUAAACCAGGGAGUCUGGAGGCAGAUCCUUCAUGGCAGCAUUUGUUCAGGGGUCUCACCCGGGUGGUAUGUUGGCCUUGCCUCAGUGGGUGCACUCUGCUUGUUACCAGCAUCCUGGACCCUCCCUCUGCCUUUUAAAAUUGAGCACUUACUAUACUCAGAGCCCAAUGCCAUAUGCGUUAUCUUUUUGAAUCCUCACUGGGUAAGAUUUUUCCCAUGCUACAGGUAAGGAAACUGAGGCUCUCAGAGGCUUUCUAGGCUUUGGAGCACACUAUUAGUUUCUGUCUGGCUUACCCACUGCUUUAUAUUGCCUUCCACACGCUUCAGGAUUUCACACUGUAAUAUCCUUUGUAAGCACAAGAGAAACUCUUCCAAAUACUUGGAUCCAUAUCACUCUAGAAGCCAGGACAGAUGGGGUAUUUCCUUUCAUAGUUGAGCAGAUCAUUCUCCAAAGAAACAGAGCUGACUUUCUGGGCCCUUGUGGUCUCAGGACUGAGGCAGAUGGCUGGGCAGAGUCACUGGGCACCUCUCAGGAAGACCCUGGUCAUCUUUUCCUGCCCCUUCUCCUCCCUCAGCACCACCUC